UACGUAGGCAGCGAGCGUUGUUCGGAGUUACUGGGCGUAAAGGGUGCGUAGGCGGUUGUUUAAGGUUGGUGUGAAAUCUCCCGGCUCAACUGGGAGGGUGCGCCGAAUACUGAAUGACUAGAGUGCGGGAGAGGAUAGUGGAAUUCCUGGUGUAGCGGUGAAAUGCGUAGAUAUCAGGAGGAACACCGGUGGUGUAGACGGCUCGCUGGGACGUUACUGACGCUGAGACGCGAAAGCGUGGGGAGCAAACAGG
RNAcentral lists this ribosomal RNA (253 nucleotides) under uncultured bacterium. Its description in RNAcentral is "partial 16S ribosomal RNA". It matches the Rfam family "Bacterial small subunit ribosomal RNA", at positions 524 to 776 of the family's 1533-position model. The record is from RNAcentral.